AGCGGCGGACGGGUGAGUAACGCGUGGGAAUAUGCCCUUCUCUAAGGAAUAGCCUCGGGAAACUGAGAGUAAUACCUUAUACGCCCUUCGGGGGAAAGAUUUGUCGGAGAAGGAUCAGCCCGCGUAAGAUUAGAUAGUUGGUGGGGUAAUGGCCUACCAAGUCUACGAUCUUUAGCUGGUUUUAGAGGAUGAUCAGCAACACUGGGACUGAAACACGGCCCAGACUCCUACGGGAGGCAGCAGUGGGGAAUCUUAGACAAUGGGCGCAAGCCUGAUCUAGCCAUGCCUCGUGUGUGAUGAAGGCCUUAGGGUCGUAAAGCACUUUCGCCAGGGAUGAUAAUGACAGUACCUGGUAAAGAAACCCCGGCUAACUCCGUGCCAGCAGCCGGGGUAAUACGGAGGGGGUUAGCGUUGUUCGGAAUUACUGGGCGUAAAGCGCGCGUAGGCGGAUCAAAAAGUUGGGGGUGAAAUCCCAGGGCUCAACCCUGGAACUGCCUCCAAAACUCCUGGUCUUGAGUUCGAGANGGGUGAGUGGAAUCCCGAGUGUAGAGGUGAAAUUCGUAGAUAUUCGGAGGAACACCAGUGGCGAAGGCGGCUCACUGGCUCGAUACUGACGCUGAGGUGCGAAAGUGUGGGGAGCAAACAGGAUUAAAUACCCUGGUAGUCCACACCGA
This 674-nucleotide ribosomal RNA is filed under the name uncultured bacterium. Its description in RNAcentral is "bacterial SSU rRNA". It matches the Rfam family "Bacterial small subunit ribosomal RNA", at positions 94 to 803 of the family's 1533-position model. The record is from RNAcentral.